This 316-nucleotide unclassified non-coding RNA is filed under the name uncultured Ascomycota. RNAcentral describes it as "sequence contains ITS1". The stretch from base 1 to 105 matches the Rfam family "5.8S ribosomal RNA", at positions 50 to 154 of the family's 154-position model. Lineage: Eukaryota; Fungi; Ascomycota. The record is from RNAcentral.
GAAAUGCGAUAAGUAAUGUGAAUUGCAGAAUUCAGUGAAUCAUCGAAUCCUUGAACGCACAUUGCGCCCCUGGGAAAUCCUGGGGGCACACCUGUUCGAGCGUCAUCGCACACCUCAAGCUACGCUUGGUGUUGGGCCGUACGUCCCCCCAGUUCGGGCGGGACGCGCCCGAAAGCGAUGGGCGACAGCGCCUGGCUUCAAGCGUAAAUAAGGUUUUCGACAACCCUUCGCUUUGGAAGUCUAGGUUCCGGCAGCCUUCAAAACCAAUUUUCUACGGUUUGGCCUCGGAUCAGGUGGGGGUACCCGCUGAACUUAA